CCUACGGGGCGCAGCAGUGAGGAAUAUUGGUCAAUGGGCGGGAGCCUGAACCAGCCAAGUCGCGUGAGGGAAGACGGUCCUAUGGAUUGUAAACCUCUUUAGGCGGGGAGCAAUGCCGGGCACGCGUGCCCGGAGGGAGAGUACCCGCAGAAUAAGCAUCGGCUAACUCCGUGCCAGCAGCCGCGGUAAUACGGAGGAUGCGAGCGUUAUCCGGAUUUAUUGGGUUUAAAGGGUGCGUAGGCGGGCUUUUAAGUCAGCGGUAAAAAUUCGGGGCUCAACCCCGUCCGGCCGUUGAAACUGGGGGC
RNAcentral lists this ribosomal RNA (305 nucleotides) under uncultured bacterium. RNAcentral's name for it is "bacterial SSU rRNA". It matches the Rfam family "Bacterial small subunit ribosomal RNA", at positions 338 to 640 of the family's 1533-position model. The record is from RNAcentral.